Labrus bergylta (ballan wrasse) is the source of this 290-nucleotide non-coding RNA. NCBI's taxonomy places the organism in Eukaryota, Metazoa, Chordata, Actinopteri, Labriformes, Labridae. The record is from RefSeq and is a predicted model, not a curated record.
AGAGGAAGAGAACCUCGCUGAGGAGAAACAGGAGGAAGAGGAGCCUGUCAUCUGUGACCCAGAGCAAAAAGAGGAAGAAGAGCCACAGCGGACCUCCCCCUCGCCACCUCCAAGUCCUGAACCAGUUACAACCCAGCCCAAGGCUGAUCCAGAAUCAGAACCAGAAACCGACAUCAAGGAAGCCAAUGAAGACGCUGAGCCUGUAACCCAGCAGCCACAGAAAUCGAAGGCAGAUGGUCAAAGCCCAGAUUCUGACAAAGCUAGUGACAAAGAGGAGGAAGCUACUGGGG